AAUAACGUACUAUAAUCAAUGCUUCUUAAGCAUGUGAUUAGCUUUUAGUAUCCUUUUAAUCCUACUAUAUUAUUUGGGAAAUACAUUUUAAAUGUAACCUUAAUUUUUGUAAUUAAUUACAUGACAAUACCAUUAGAAAAAUUUAAUCAAAAACAAAAUCUUUUAAUGACAUCAUUAAGGUUACCAAAAUCAUUUAACGACAAUAUUCAUUUCUUAAUUAUAGGGCUUGUUGAAUCUAAAGACGGGUCAUCAAAGAUUUUCUAAACUAAAGCAAAAUAUACCGAAUAUUCAAAUAUCUUUCUGUUACCAAAUUAUAAACAAAUAAGUUCGUAAAACAAUUUAAUAUUUUAUAUACGAAAUCAAUAAAUCUUAAUCACAUAAAAAUUUGUAC
RNAcentral lists this small RNA (391 nucleotides) under Arabidopsis thaliana (thale cress). Its description in RNAcentral is "ATSL177250". Lineage: Eukaryota; Viridiplantae; Streptophyta; Magnoliopsida; Brassicales; Brassicaceae. The record is from RNAcentral.